RNAcentral lists this ribosomal RNA (481 nucleotides) under uncultured bacterium. Its description in RNAcentral is "partial 16S ribosomal RNA". It matches the Rfam family "Bacterial small subunit ribosomal RNA", at positions 28 to 507 of the family's 1533-position model. The record is from RNAcentral.
GAUGAACGCUGGCGGCGUGCCUAACACAUGCGAGUCGAACGGAGAUUACGGACGGAAGUUUUCGGAUGGAAGCCUGUAAUUCUUAGUGGCGGACGGGUGAGUAACGCGUGCGCAACCUGCCCUAUACAGGGGGAUAGCAGCUGGAAACGGCUGGUAAGACCGCAUAAGUCGGUUAAAUCGCAUGAUUUGAUCGGGAAAUGAGCAAUCAGGUAUAGGAUGGGCCCGCGUCUGAUUAGCCAGUUGGCAGGGUAAAAGCCUACCAAAGCGACGAUCGGUAGCCGGACGGAGAGGUCGGGCGGCCACAUUGGGGCUGAGCCACGGCCCCAACUCCGACGGGAGGCAGUAGUGGAGGAUAUUGCACGAUGGAGGAAACUCUGAUGCAGCGACGCCGGGUGAGUGAAGGAGUAUUUCGGUAUGUAAAGCUCUAUCAGCAGGGAAGAUGGUGACGGUACCUGACGAAGAAGCCCCGGCUAACUACGUG